Molecule: non-coding RNA, 23 nt
Filed under: Cricetulus griseus (Chinese hamster)
Lineage: Eukaryota; Metazoa; Chordata; Mammalia; Rodentia; Cricetidae
Source: RNAcentral
UUCUAAUAACUGAGAUUUCUUGC